Molecule: transfer RNA, 87 nt
Filed under: Chloroflexota bacterium
Lineage: Bacteria; Bacillati; Chloroflexota
Also listed under: 1 other name
Description: tRNA-Leu
Rfam family: tRNA
About the family: Transfer RNA (tRNA) molecules are approximately 80 nucleotides in length. Their secondary structure includes four short double-helical elements and three loops (D, anti-codon, and T loops).
Source: RNAcentral
GCCGAAGUGGCGGAACUGGCAGACGCGACGGUCUCAAACACCGUUGAGGGCAACCUCGUCCGGGUUCAAGUCCCGGCUUCGGCACCA